RNAcentral lists this unclassified non-coding RNA (293 nucleotides) under Hevea brasiliensis (rubber tree). The record is from RNAcentral. Lineage: Eukaryota; Viridiplantae; Streptophyta; Magnoliopsida; Malpighiales; Euphorbiaceae.
CGCAGACUUGCUCAAAAUCGUGAAGCUGCCAGAAAAAGCAGGCUAAGGAAAAAAGCAUAUGUACAACAAUUGGAGAGCAGUCGGCUGAAGCUAACUCAACUUGAGCAAGAGCUCCAAAGAGCCCGCCAACAGGGCAUUUUUAUUUCAAGCUCUGGAGAUCAAUCUCAUUCAAUGAGUGGAAAUGGUGCCUUGGCAUUUGAUGUAGAAUAUGCACGGUGGCUAGAAGAACACAACAGGCAGAUAAAUGAGCUGAGAGCUGCACUUAAUUCACAUGCAGGAGACACUGAACUUCG